UUACGGCUACAUCACGUUGAAACACCUGUUAGCGUACAAUCACCGAAGUUAAGCAACGUCGAACCUGGUCAGUACCUAGAUGGGUGACCACUUGGGAACACCAGGCGCUGUCAG
Acanthosepion pharaonis is the source of this 114-nucleotide non-coding RNA. The record is from the annotation of a GenBank genome assembly. NCBI's taxonomy places the organism in Eukaryota, Metazoa, Mollusca, Cephalopoda, Sepiida, Sepiidae.